AACGAACGCUGGCGGCAGGCCUAAUACAUGCAAGUCGAACGCACCGCAAGGUGAGUGGCAGACGGGUGAGUAACGCGUGGGAACCUUCCUAGUAGUACGGAAUAACUUCGGGAAACCAAAGCUAAUACCGUAUACGCCCUUCGGGGGAAAGAUUUAUCGCGAUUAGAUGGGCCCGCGUAGGAUCAGCUAGUUGGUGAGGUAAUGGCUCACCAAGGCUACGAUCCUUAGCUGGUCUGAGGGGAUGAUCAGCCACACUGGGACUGAGACACGGCCCAGACUCCUACGGGAGGCAGCAGUAGGGAAUAUUGGACAAUGGGCGAAAGCCUGAUCCAGCCAUGCCGCGUGAGUGAAGAAGGCCUUAGGGUUGUAAAGCUCUUUUGGCGGGGAAGAUAAUGACGGUACCCGCAGAAUAAGCCCCGGCUAACUUCGUGCCAGCAGCCGCGGUAA
Molecule: ribosomal RNA, 447 nt
Filed under: uncultured bacterium
Lineage: Bacteria
Description: partial 16S ribosomal RNA
Rfam family: Bacterial small subunit ribosomal RNA
Source: RNAcentral